Molecule: ribosomal RNA, 254 nt
Filed under: uncultured bacterium
Lineage: Bacteria
Description: partial 16S ribosomal RNA
Rfam family: Bacterial small subunit ribosomal RNA
Source: RNAcentral
UACGGAGGAUCCAAGCGUUAUCCGGAAUUACUGGGCGUAAAGAGUUGCGUAGGUGGCAUAGUAAGCAGGUAGUGAAAGCGUGUGGCUCAACCAUACUCACAUUAUCUGAACUGCUAAGCUAGAAUAUAGAAGAGGUAGCUGGAAUUCCUAGUGUAGGAGUGAAAUCCGUAGAUAUUAGGAGGAACACCAAUGGCGUAGGCAGGCUACUGGUCUAUUAUUGACACUAAGGCACGAAAGCGUGGGGAGCGAACGGG